AGAGUUUGAUCCUGGCUCAGAUUGAACGCUGGCGGCAGGCUUAACACAUGCAAGUCGAGCGGGGUGAUGUAGCUUGCUACAUUACCUAGCGGCGGACGGGUGAGUAAUGCUUAGGAAUCUGCCUAUUAGUGGGGGACAACAUUCCGAAAGGAAUGCUAAUACCGCAUACGCCCUACGGGGGAAAGCAGGGGAUCUUCGGACCUUGCGCUAAUAGAUGAGCCUAAGUCAGAUUAGCUAGUUGGUGGGGUAAAGGCCUACCAAGGCGACGAUCUGUAGCGGGUCUGAGAGGAUGAUCCGCCACACUGGGACUGAGACACGGCCCAGACUCCUACGGGAGGCAGCAGUGGGGAAUAUUGGACAAUGGGCGAAAGCCUGAUCCAGCCAUGCCGCGUGUGUGAAGAAGGCCUUUUGGUUGUAAAGCACUUUAAGCGAGGAGGAGGCUACCGAGAUUAAUACUCUUGGAUAGUGGACGUUACUCGCAGAAUAAGCACCGGCUAACUCUGUGCCAGCAGCCGCGGUAAUACAGAGGGUGCGAGCGUUAAUCGGAUUUACUGGGCGUAAAGCGUGCGUAGGCGGCUUUUUAAGUCGGAUGUGAAAUCCCUGAGCUUAACUUAGGAAUUGCAUUCGAUACUGGGAAGCUAGAGUAUGGGAGAGGAUGGUAGAAUUCCAGGUGUAGCGGUGAAAUGCGUAGAGAUCUGGAGGAAUACCGAUGGCGAAGGCAGCCAUCUGGCCUAAUACUGACGCUGAGGUACG
RNAcentral lists this ribosomal RNA (753 nucleotides) under uncultured bacterium. Its description in RNAcentral is "bacterial SSU rRNA". It matches the Rfam family "Bacterial small subunit ribosomal RNA", at positions 8 to 755 of the family's 1533-position model. The record is from RNAcentral.